AGUUAGCGGCGGACGGGUGAGUAACACGUGGGCAACCUACCUGUAAGACUGGGAUAACUUCGGGAAACCGGAGCUAAUACCGGAUGACAUAAAGGAACUCCUGUUCCUUUAUUGAAAGAUGGCUUCGGCUAUCACUUACAGAUGGGCCCGCGGCGCAUUAGCUAGUUGGUGAGGUAACGGCUCACCAAGGCGACGAUGCGUAGCCGACCUGAGAGGGUGAUCGGCCACACUGGGACUGARACACGGCCCAGACUCCUACGGGAGGCAGCAGUAGGGAAUCUUCCGCAAUGGACGAAAGUCUGACGGARCAACGCCGCGUGAGCGAUGAAGGCCUUCGGGUCGUAAAGCUCUGUUGUUAGGGAAGAACAAGUGCUAGUUAAAUAAGCUGGCACCUUGACGGUACCUAACCAGAAAGCCACGGCUAACUACGUGCCAGCAGCCGCGGUAAUACGUAGGUGGCAAGCGUUGUCCGGAAUUAUUGGGCGUAAAGCGCGCGCAGGCGGUUUCUUAAGUCUGAUGUGAAAGCCCCCGGCUCAACCGGGGAGGGUCAUUGGAAACUGGGAAACUUGAGUGCAGAAGARGAAAGUGGAAUUCCAAGUGKAGCGGUGAAAUGCGUAGAGAUUUGGAGGAACACCAGUGGCGAAGGCGACUUUCUGGUCUGUAACUGACGCUGAGGCGCGAAAGCGUGGGGAGCAAACAGGAUUAGAUACCCUGGUAGUCCACGCUGUAAACGAUGAGUGCUAAGUGUUAGAGGGUUUCCGCCCUUUAGUGCUGAAGUUAACGCAUUAAGCACUCCGCCUGGGGAGUACGGUCGCAAGACUGAAACUCAAGGAAUUGACGGGGGCCCGCACAAGUGGUGGAGCAUGUGGUUAAUUCGAAGCAACGCGAGACCUUACCAGUCUUGACAUCCUCUGACAAC
RNAcentral lists this ribosomal RNA (919 nucleotides) under Bacillus sp. (in: firmicutes). RNAcentral's name for it is "bacterial SSU rRNA". The record is from RNAcentral. Lineage: Bacteria; Bacillati; Bacillota; Bacilli; Caryophanales; Bacillaceae.